Molecule: ribosomal RNA, 223 nt
Filed under: Triticum aestivum (bread wheat)
Lineage: Eukaryota; Viridiplantae; Streptophyta; Magnoliopsida; Poales; Poaceae
Description: partial small subunit ribosomal RNA
Source: RNAcentral
UGAGGAUGAUGAUGACCCAAGAAACUUGAACAAGCCCGAUGGUGACAAGAAGACUAAGGAGAAGAUGAAGAGAGAGCACGAAGCAUCGAGCUUGCGGGACAAGAUUGAUGCCAUGGUGCAAUCAAAUGAGUUGAUGUUAGCGAAGACGUUGGAGAUAAAGAAAGAGUUGGCCGAGAAGAAGGCACGGGAGAAGCAAGAAAAAUGGCAAUUGCUUAAGGACGAG